Molecule: ribosomal RNA, 476 nt
Filed under: uncultured Pseudomonas sp.
Lineage: Bacteria; Pseudomonadati; Pseudomonadota; Gammaproteobacteria; Pseudomonadales; Pseudomonadaceae
Description: bacterial SSU rRNA
Rfam family: Bacterial small subunit ribosomal RNA
Source: RNAcentral
GCGGUGGAGCAUGUGGUUUAAUUCGAAGCAACGCGAAGAACCUUACCAGGCCUUGACAUCCAAUGAACCUUUCUAGAGAUAGAUUGGUGCCUUCGGGAACAUUGAGACAGGUGCUGCAUGGCUGUUGUCAGCUCGUGUCGUGAGAUGUUGGGUUAAGUCCCGUAACGAGCGCAACCCUUGUCCUUAGUUACCAGCACGUAAUGGUGGGCACUCUAAGGAGACUGCCGGUGACAAACCGGAGGAAGGUGGGGAUGACGUCAAGUCAUCAUGGCCCUUACGGCCUGGGCUACACACGUGCUACAAUGGUCGGUACAGAGGGUUGCCAAGCCGCGAGGUGGAGCUAAUCCCAGAAAACCGAUCGUAGUCCGGAUCGCAGUCUGCAACGNNNGCGUGAAGUCGGAAUCGCUAGUAAUCGCGAAUCAGAAUGUCGCGGUGAAUACGUUCCCGGGCCUUGUACACACCGCCCGUCACACCAU